CUCCUGGAAAAACCAAUAUCCAGCCAAUGCUUGUGUCAGAGAUUAAGUCGUGCAUGUCUAAGUACAUACCUUAAAACGGUGAAACAGCAAAUCGCUGAUUAAAUCAGCUAUGGUUGCUUAGACCACAUAUGCACUACAUGGAUAACUGUAGUAAUUCUAGAGCUAAUAAAUGAAGUUAUGCCCUGACCCGCAAAUCAACAGAAAAUUUAUUAAUACAGAACCAACCGCGGGUGGGGGGGGUAGUUUCGCCUGGAUAGCUUUAAUGUGAUCGCGAUCGGCCUUCCAUUGGCGAUGGAUCUUAUCGUAGAAGGAAACAACACAGAGAUUCUGUUUCACCGAUCAAUUUAGAAGGUUAAACAACAUUGGAAUAAACACAGGAGUCAGACAAUGGUGCUUAUUAUCACCAAUUAUACUUCAUUCACUUACUUAUCUAGGGAGCAUUGUCUCAACUACAGGAAGUCGGAGAGGACGAGGAUGUCAAAUCGAGCUAGAAUCGGGAAGGCAGGCGAGAAACAUAUUCAUCAACCUGAAACAACCAAUCUGGAAAUAUUCGUCACUCAGCCAGAAUCAACAACAAAAU
RNAcentral lists this non-coding RNA (580 nucleotides) under Trichobilharzia regenti. RNAcentral's name for it is "Eukaryotic small subunit ribosomal RNA". It matches the Rfam family "Eukaryotic small subunit ribosomal RNA", at positions 28 to 385 of the family's 1831-position model. The record is from Rfam by way of RNAcentral. Lineage: Eukaryota; Metazoa; Platyhelminthes; Trematoda; Strigeidida; Schistosomatidae.